AAUCAGGCAUUGGUUGAUGGCCCAUGCACGAAUGUAGUGAGGCAAGCACUGGCCUUCAAGCAUAUGUCGCUUACUGACUUGAAGAUCAAGGUGCCCCGAGGUGCUCGUAGUGGUGUCGUUAAAAGAGUCUUCGCUGAUGCUGAGGUGUCAGAGAAGUGGGAAAAAACGGCAUGGGCCAAAAAGUUAGCUGCUAGAAAGAAGAAGGCAUCAAUGACGGACUUUGAUAGAUUCAAGUUAAAGUUGGAGAAGCAAAGGGUGAGUGUGUUUCUAUUGGCCUUCCUCCCAUCGAGCACUUUCAUCCAGUUGAAUAUGGAAAGCAUUGCUGUAGUAACUUAUCAAUUAUAACUAAUUUAAGAAAAAUGUCAUUCCUUCCCAUUUAGAAAUCAAGAAUCUUGAAGGUCGAAGUGAAAAAGUUGAAAAAAGAAUCUAAAUAAGUUUUUUUUGUUGAAUGACAAAUAAAAUUGAUAACAUGCUGUAAUGUGUCUGUAUCUAUAAUCUUGUUUAUCACAUUGCUACUGCAAAAGAAAAGGUCAGAUGGUCUGCAGGAUCUGAAAUUUGUAGUAUUCCAAUAUCCACAGGAUACUAAAAUUUAGUUUUGGAUACCAAACUGUG
Non-coding RNA from Paramuricea clavata, 612 nucleotides. The record is from the annotation of a GenBank genome assembly. NCBI's taxonomy places the organism in Eukaryota, Metazoa, Cnidaria, Anthozoa, Malacalcyonacea, Plexauridae.